AUUAAACUCUCUAUAUAUCUUCACAUUCACUUCUCACAAUUUAGAUUCAGUUCUCAAAUUCAAUUUCAAGUUACUGAGACAGACAUCCUGGUAGUUGGAGGAUGAAAGAAGAGCAAUCGAGCACAGAUCGAUAGAUAGCGUUCAUUGGUGCACAGGAUUCCUCUUGGGCCAAUCAGCACCUACUUUUUGGAGCAUAGUACGUACCCGUCAUGAAACAAGGAAGAAGUGCUUGCCUUGCUGACUGGCUUGACCACCAUGGAUUCGGCUGGGACAAAUACAGGAGACAACUCAGAAGUAGUCAAUUCAGGAAGACAGCUCCUAAAUUUGUUCACAAAUGCAAUACCUUCCCCUGGUCCUGUUGGACCCAGUGCCCAACAUCAAACUUGCCCAGAGACUCCAAGACAGGAAAGGAGUCAGGAAAGAGGGAGAGAUGGCCGACCCAGUGUCCACACAGAAAUGACAAGGUCUUUUCCUGCCCUUUUUGGAGCCAGUGGAAAGCGCUGGCGUGUUCAAGGGCCUUCCAACCACUUCACACCAGUCAAAGAGAUAGAAGUUACAUUUUAUCUCUUACCCAAGAUUGUUGAGCACACUCCCAAAGGCAGUGAAGAAGUUUUCCAUCUGCAAGCUGGUUUGGGACGCAGGUCCACGCUGAUACCAGGGAACUACACCCAUGAUGAG
Molecule: long non-coding RNA, 678 nt
Organism: Cyprinus carpio carpio
Lineage: Eukaryota; Metazoa; Chordata; Actinopteri; Cypriniformes; Cyprinidae
Source: Ensembl